Molecule: ribosomal RNA, 685 nt
Filed under: Salmonella enterica
Lineage: Bacteria; Pseudomonadati; Pseudomonadota; Gammaproteobacteria; Enterobacterales; Enterobacteriaceae
Description: partial 23S ribosomal RNA
Source: RNAcentral
UUAGUGGAAGCGUCUGGAAAGGCGCGCGAUACAGGGUGACAGCCCCGUACACAAAAGCGCAUGUGCUGUGAGCUCGAUGAGUAGGGCGGGACACGUGGUAUCCUGUCUGAAUAUGGGGGGACCAUCCUCCAAGGCUAAAUACUCCUGACUGACCGAUAGUGAACCAGUACCGUGAGGGAAAGGCGAAAAGAACCCCGGCGAGGGGAGUGAAAAAGAACCUGAAACCGUGUACGUACAAGCAGUGGGAGCCCCACCACUAAGCCAGUGGUGAACUCCACAUACGCAUCCUUUGCUGAGGAUACGGUUAACGGAGCGAAAGCGACGUUCAACCUCAAAAGAAGCAGAGGGGGCUUAGUGGUGGGGUGACUGCGUACCUUUUGUAUAAUGGGUCAGCGACUUAUAUUCUGUAGCAAGGUUAACCGWAUAGGGGAGCCGKAGGGAAACCGAGUCUUAAYYGGGCGUUAAGUUGCAGGGUAUAGACCCGAAACCCGGUGAUCUAGCCAUGGGCAGGUUGAAGGUUGGGUAACACUAACUGGAGGACCGAACCGACUAAUGUUGAAAAAUUAGCGGAUGACCUGUGGCUGGGGGUGAAAGGCCAAUCAAACCGGGAGAUAGCUGGUUCUCCCCGAAAGCUAUUUAGGUAGCGCCUCGUGAAUUCAUCUCCGGGGGUAGAGCACUGUUUCGG